GAUGAACGCUGGCGGCGUGCCUAACACAUGCAAGUCGAACGAAGCACCUUACCUGAUUCUUCGGAUGAAAGUUUGGUGACUGAGUGGCGGACGGGUGAGUAACGCGUGGGUAACCUGCCCUGUACAGGGGGAUAACAGCUGGAAACGGCUGCUAAUACCGCAUAAGCGCACGAGGAGACAUCUCCUUGUGUGAAAAACUCCGGUGGUACAGGAUGGGCCCGCGUCUGAUUAGCUGGUUGGCAGGGUAACGGCCUACCAAGGCAACGAUCAGUAGCCGGUCUGAGAGGAUGAACGGCCACAUUGGAAAUGAGACACGGUCCAAACUCCUACGGGAGGCAGCAGUGGGGAAUAUUGCACAAUGGGGGAAACCCUGAUGCAGCAACGCCGGGUGAGUGAAGAAGUAUUUCGGUAUGUAAAGCUCUAUCAGCAGGGAAGAUAAUGACGGUACCUGACUAAGAAGCGCCGGCUAAAUACGUG
RNAcentral lists this ribosomal RNA (477 nucleotides) under uncultured bacterium. RNAcentral describes it as "partial 16S ribosomal RNA". It matches the Rfam family "Bacterial small subunit ribosomal RNA", at positions 28 to 507 of the family's 1533-position model. The record is from RNAcentral.